Gadus macrocephalus (Pacific cod) is the source of this 2780-nucleotide long non-coding RNA. RefSeq lists it as uncharacterized. The transcript is spliced from 2 exons. NCBI's taxonomy places the organism in Eukaryota, Metazoa, Chordata, Actinopteri, Gadiformes, Gadidae. The record is from RefSeq and is a predicted model, not a curated record.
AAUAUGGGGAAAUGCAAGUGUUGUCAAUGUGGAAAUAAAUGAUCAAGACCAACUUAUAGCACUCCAUGUAUUGAUUUAUAUCCACAUAAGCCUGCUGCUGUAUAAUGUAAAUUGUUCAAUUGGACCCAAAAUAACACACACACACGCACACACACACCCACACACACACACAGUCACACACACACACACGCAUGCACGCACACAUGCACGCAAGCACACACACACACACACACACACACACACACACACACACACACACACACACACGCGCGCGUGCACACGCACACGCACACACACCUGGCGGCAUCUAUUGUCCUUGGGUUUGUUUAACCUGCUUAAAGCUAGCUAUUCUCCCAGGUAUUUAUCUCAAGGCUUUCAUGUAGUAGGCCGAUAGAGGCAAAGCCCUGUGAUAAUAUGUCUUCAUUAUCAGAAUUACAGUUAGCAGAUCACAGGGGCCAGUGCAGAAGCAUUGCCCCGGAGCAGGGGAAAUAACACUGAUCUUUCAGGGGGGUCUAUUUUACUAUCCACUUACUAGCUAUUUAGCAGACUAUUUUAGCCAGAGCAACUUGCAAUGGAUUCAGAUUCAGUUCAAUGAGGAGAGGGUGACAGUUAGGCAUCUUUAACACAGGUGGGCUACGGAUAUGGGGGAUCGAACACAGUCCGUAUUUUUGAAAGGGUGUUAAACUCCCCAGUCAUCCCGCUCAACUAUCGGGCUCAGACUCCUAAUCUCUAUAUACAAACGUCUGCUAACGCCAUAGAGUCGACAAUCGUGAGGCAGCCAGAGUUGAUCCUCUUGAUCUGCAGGCAAACGUUCACUAUCCACCCUUGUGAAGGCCUCCCCUGCAGAGCGAGGAAGUGUAUGGAGAACACUAAAAUACUAAGAAGAAAGAAGAAUAAAAAGAUAGGAAUGAUUUGAAAUGACUCUAGAAUGAAUGUGUGAUGUCGCAUGGACACCCUCUCAGCAUCACAGGGUAGCAAACAAUCCCCUUGGCCUUUCUCUCUUUUUCCACCACAGUGCAAUGAAAAACCCUUCGAAGAGCCAAUGAAGGAACACUGGCUCCUGCAUCACGGCGACCUGGCUGUGAUGGUCUGUGUUCAACGUGGUUCUGCGUUCACUCUUUUCCAGGCACUGCUGGAUAAGAACAAGUGGAUAUGCGAUAUGCUUCGUUUGGCCCCCACACCCCUCUGGAAAUGUCCUCAUCUGCACGUCACGUAGCAGGGAAGUGCUGGGGAGAUCUGGCCUGGAUCGGGGCUGAAUGGAACCCAACUUAGACACAAAAGUCGAACAUUAAGGAUAAAUAGAGGAAAGGUGGGGGGAAGGGGAAGGAAACGAGGAGAGGGAGCGGGGGGGAAAUGAGAGACGUUAAUUUGUUUAAUGUUCAGUCUUUUUUUCUAGAUUGUGCGACUACGUGCUUCUAGGCUUUGGAUCGUGCCGGAACCGUCGGGGUAGUGUCCGUUUCCACGCACGCGAUUGAUCGAAGAUCUCUUCCUGUAUGUGCGAAAAGGGGGCAGGUUUUGUCCAUAGAGGUGGCAUUGCACAAUUAGUGGGGCCUAGCCAAAACAUAGAGGGUGGGGCACGCCUUCUGGAGGCCUGACUGGCGGUACGUGACUGAACACACUGACGCACACGCACUGGAUACCCCUCAGCCAACAUGUACACGGACGCCUGUACACUAGACGCUGAACAAACAGACACACACACACACUGGCAUUUAAAUAAUUAACCAAGGUUCUCAAUCAUUACCAUGAAAUUAAGUCCUGGACAUUUGAGAUUCACCUCAAACGACGUUAAUUCGUGACUGCAUGCUUAUAGAGAAGAUAGCAGAGAUAGUAGAUAGAGAGUGAGAGAGAUAGUUAUAACAGGAGAAAUACGUCAGAAAAGGGAGUAAGAUCCCACCUAAAAUAACUGAGGCCUUAAUAUCCCCACCAGACUAAGUAUAGCACCGUAGUAGUUGCAUAUACAAAACUACUUCUCACGCUGUUGCAUGCAAAGCCUUCCUCUGCACCUCACAAGGAUUUGUAUCACUCAACCCUUUCCGAUAGAUGUUUCACUUGGCACAAUAACCAGUAGGCCUGCAUGUCGAGUAUUGUCGUAACAUAACAAAUGAAUGCCGUUCAUCCAGUACAAACUAUGCAAUAGAAAGUUUAUCAGAAUGCCGGAGAUUCCUCUUAAAAUGGUGAUAUUGUUUAUUCGUCUCUGUGAUAUUGCAAGCAUACUUCUACUACUUUAUAGGGGAAUCUUGUGUUGAUCAUCAGGACAACAUUCACUGUUUGGACUGUUGAAGCGUAUGUUUUUUUUUAUAAGCUCACAUGUUCCACAAACAAGUGGAGCGUUUGAAGAGUGGACAUCGACCAAAGCUCAGAAUAAGUGUGUGGAUCAGUGUGGAGCACAAGAAAUUGAAAUCUGAUGGAACAAGCACACACAUGUUUUGACUGCGAUAGCUAUCUUGUGCUGUUAUGCUGUUCUACAUUCCUUAGGGUUUAACAUUGGUUUAAAGCAGGGAAUCAUAACACAAGUAAGUACAUCUUUGAUAAUUUGUGGUUUUAUUGCAUAAGAGUUUAGGAUGAUAACACAAUUAGGUGUCAGCUGAUCAGCGUAACACUUCUUUUUGUUGUCGUUGAGUAACAAGUACAUUUCACUGGGCAAUUACUCACUCACACACACACACACACACACACACACACACACACACACACACACACACACACACACACACACACACACACACACACACACACACACACACACACACACACACACACACACACACACACACACA